GCAUUUAUUACAUAAACAGAGUAAUUGUAUGUGUUGUCUGUGAGGUUUAAUGGAGUGUAUGGUAUCCAGAGUCAUCAAAGUUUGAGCGGGCUGUACUCCUUCGUCUCAAUCAAGUCGAUGAGAGACUCCAAAACAUUGAACGUCUUCUAAGGACUAACAUGUGUUCUGAGCCACCCGAAGGACAAGAAAUUAUCGAAAAGCCCUGUAACACACCAAAGGAACUGGAAGAUUUGUGCACCAUGUUGAAGGAUCCAGCCUACAAAAAGAGAGUGUUUAGUACUUCAAGGUUGUAAGAGUUUGCACUUGGAACACAGUGUCAUAUGCAUUGUUGUAACUCCAGCUGUGUGUGAUCUUUGUAGAGGUGGAGUGGUGUAGUGGGCUAAGCACAGCCAACAAACCAAACACAAAGCAACCCUGUGUUUUCCAUAUUAUUUUAUAUAAUUAUGCACACAGUUUUAUUUUUCUUGGUGCAGAUAUUGCUGUGUAGCAUAAUACAGCAUUACUUUUAUUUUCAGAUCGAUUGGCUGAGCCUCAUGGGAGGCAACACACCUGGAGAGUCGGUCAGAAGACUGCUUAGGAAACUCGGGACGAAUGCUCUAUGGGCCCAAUAUAGUCUUAAAGGCCGCAAGGGAAAGAAGAAUUUGUAGGAACUGGAAAUAUGUAAUGUCAUAAUCCAUGCCUGUCGUCAAACACACACCAAGGUGCUGGAAAAAGUAAUUGAGGACUUCAUAUCAGAAACACUGAAGUUUGCACCACACAGAGAUAAGGUAAGGCUUUUUUAGUUUGUAAAACAUUAAUAAAGAAAACAUAGCACAUAUAAUACAGAUUAUACUGUAUACUAAUACUAUGUUUUGUUUCUAUAGAUGCUACAAUCUAAGGUGUCACUUCAGGCCGAAGCAGAGACUUCAGGAAAAGAAGACACACAGAACACACUUAAUUAGUUGUUUUACACACAGAACGUAUUUUAUGUAAGAUUUGGAAUGUUUCAGUUUGUGGAAUGUUUGAGUAUAUAAAAUGUGAAAGUUAAGAUAUCAGUUAUGCCACUUUUUUUUCCAUUUAAAUGUACUGUACGUUACAGUAUACUUAAAGUAUCCUUGGCAAAAUGUAGACAAAUACAAUAUGAAUGAAAAAUUAUCAAAUAAAUUAAAAUAUGAAAAAUGUUUGUGUAGUGUCUUAAAGUUUUUGGUGUUGACAAAUAUAAUUAGAAAUAUUUUACCAAAUGUUUGAAUUUAUAUUUGUUUAUUAAAAAAGUUCCCAGGGCAAUGUUUGGAGGAUAUCUGGAUAUUUUUAUAGACGUUUAAAGAUUCAGCAUUUUUUUCCCCCUAUCAUUUUCCUAACAAGAUGAAAAAUCUGGACAUUUGGAAUGUUUAAAAUCAUUUAGAAAUAAUGUUUUCAUAAUGUUUUCAAGAUGAUAGAAUGUAAUGUUUCUAUAACAUUCACACAUACCAAGAAAGAGCGUUCCUAAUACAUUAAAAAAAAGCACAUUUCCAACAUUUAACGAACAUUCCCUAAUAACAUUUUCAUAACGUUUUCAAGAUGAUAGAAUGGAAUGUUUCUAUAACGUUCACAUAAACCAAGAAAAAAUGUUCCUAAUACAUAAAAAAA
Molecule: long non-coding RNA, 1605 nt
Organism: Cyprinus carpio carpio
Lineage: Eukaryota; Metazoa; Chordata; Actinopteri; Cypriniformes; Cyprinidae
Source: Ensembl